This 2900-nucleotide ribosomal RNA is filed under the name Streptococcus pneumoniae. RNAcentral describes it as "bacterial LSU rRNA". It matches the Rfam family "Bacterial large subunit ribosomal RNA". Lineage: Bacteria; Bacillati; Bacillota; Bacilli; Lactobacillales; Streptococcaceae. The record is from RNAcentral.
UUAAGUUAAUAAGGGCGCACGGUGGAUGCCUUGGCACUAGGAGCCGACGAAGGACGUGACAAACGACGAUAUGCCUUGGGUAGCUGUAAGUAAGCGAUGAUCCAGGGAUUUCCGAAUGGGGGAACCCAACAGGUAAUACCUGUUACCUACAUCUGUUAAGGAUGUGAGGAGGAAGACGCAGUGAACUGAAACAUCUAAGUAGCUGCAGGAAGAGAAAGCAAAAGCGAUUGCCUUAGUAGCGGCGAGCGAAACGGCAGAAGGGCAAACCGAAGAGUUUACUCUUCGGGGUUGUAGGACUGCAAUGUGGACUCAAAGAUUAUAGAAGAAUGAUUUGGGAAGAUCAGCCAAAGAGAGUAAUAGCCUCGUAUUUAAAAUAGUCUUUGUACUUAGCAGUAUCCUGAGUACGGCGGGACACGUGAAAUCCCGUCGGAAUCUGGGAGGACCAUCUCCCAACCCUAAAUACUCCCUAGUGACCGAUAGUGAACCAGUACCGUGAGGGAAAGGUGAAAAGCACCCCGGGAGGGGAGUGAAAUAGAACCUGAAACCGUGUGCCUACAACAAGUUCGAGCCCGUUAAUGGGUGAGAGCGUGCCUUUUGUAGAAUGAACCGGCGAGUUACGUUAUGAUGCGAGGUUAAGUUGAAGAGACGGAGCCGUAGGGAAACCGAGUCUGAAUAGGGCGCCUUAGUAUCAUGACGUAGACCCGAAACCAUGUGACCUACCCAUGAGCAGGUUGAAGGUGCGGUAAGACGCACUGGAGGACCGAACCAGGGCACGUUGAAAAGUGCUUGGAUGACUUGUGGGUAGCGGAGAAAUUCCAAACGAACUUGGAGAUAGCUGGUUCUCUCCGAAAUAGCUUUAGGGCUAGCGUCGACAUUAGAGAUUCUUGGAGGUAGAGCACUGUUUGGGUGAGGGGUCCAUCCCGGAUUACCAAUCUCAGAUAAACUCCGAAUGCCAAUGAAUUAUGGUCGGCAGUCAGACUGCGAGUGCUAAGAUCCGUAGUCGAAAGGGAAACAGCCCAGACCACCAGCUAAGGUCCCAAAAUAAUUGUUAAGUGGAAAAGGAUGUGGGGUUGCACAGACAACUAGGAUGUUAGCUUAGAAGCAGCUAUUCAUUCAAAGAGUGCGUAAUAGCUCACUAGUCGAGUGACCCUGCGCCGAAAAUGUACCGGGGCUAAAACAAUUUACCGAAGCUGUGGAUACCUUUAUAGGUAUGGUAGGAGAGCGUUCUAUGUGUGAUGAAGGUAUACCGUGAGGAGUGCUGGAACGCAUAGAAGUGAGAAUGCCGGUAUGAGUAGCGAAAGACAGGUGAGAAUCCUGUCCACCGUAAGACUAAGGUUUCCAGGGGAAGGCUCGUCCGCCCUGGGUUAGUCGGGACCUAAGGAGAGACCGAAAGGUGUAUCCGAUGGACAACAGGUUGAUAUUCCUGUACUAGAGUAUGUAGUGAUGGAGGGACGCAGUAGGCUAACUAAAGCAGACGAUUGGAAGAGUCUGUCUAAGCAGUGAGGUGUGAAUUGAGUCAAAUGCUUAAUUCUAUAACAUUGAGCUGUGAUGGGGAGCGAAGUUUAGUAGCGAAGUUAGUGACGUCACACUGCCAAGAAAAGCUUCUAGCGUUUAAACAUACUCUACCCGUACCGCAAACCGACACAGGUAGUCGAGGCGAGUAGCCUCAGGUGAGCGAGAGAACUCUCGUUAAGGAACUCGGCAAAAUGACCCCGUAACUUCGGGAGAAGGGGUGCUGACUUAAAGUCAGCCGCAGUGAAUAGGCCCAAGCAACUGUUUAUCAAAAACACAGCUCUCUGCUAAAUCGUAAGAUGAUGUAUAGGGGGUGACGCCUGCCCGGUGCUGGAAGGUUAAGAGGAGUGCUUAGCGUAAGCGAAGGUAUGAAUUGAAGCCCCAGUAAACGGCGGCCGUAACUAUAACGGUCCUAAGGUAGCGAAAUUCCUUGUCGGGUAAGUUCCGACCCGCACGAAAGGCGUAAUGAUUUGGGCACUGUCUCAACGAGAGACUCGGUGAAAUUUUAGUACCUGUGAAGAUGCAGGUUACCCGCGACAGGACGGAAAGACCCCAUGGAGCUUUACUGCAGUUUGAUAUUGAGUGUCUGUACCACAUGUACAGGAUAGGUAGGAGUCUAAGAGAUCGGGACGCCAGUUUCGAAGGAGACGCUGUUGGGAUACUACCCUUGUGUUAUGGCCACUCUAACCCAGAUAGGUGAUCCCUAUCGGAGACAGUGUCUGACAGGCAGUUUGACUGGGGCGGUCGCCUCCUAAAAGGUAACGGAGGCGCCCAAAGGUUCCCUCAGAAUGGUUGGAAAUCAUUCGCAGAGUGUAAAGGUAUAAGGGAGCUUGACUGCGAGAGCUACAACUCGAGCAGGGACGAAAGUCGGGCUUAGUGAUCCGGUGGUUCCGUAUGGAAGGGCCAUCGCUCAACGGAUAAAAGCUACCCUGGGGAUAACAGGCUUAUCUCCCCCAAGAGUUCACAUCGACGGGGAGGUUUGGCACCUCGAUGUCGGCUCGUCGCAUCCUGGGGCUGUAGUCGGUCCCAAGGGUUGGGCUGUUCGCCCAUUAAAGCGGCACGCGAGCUGGGUUCAGAACGUCGUGAGACAGUUCGGUCCCUAUCCGUCGCGGGCGUAGGAAAUUUGAGAGGAUCUGCUCCUAGUACGAGAGGACCAGAGUGGACUUACCGCUGGUGUACCAGUUGUCUUGCCAAAGGCAUCGCUGGGUAGCUAUGUAGGGAAGGGAUAAACGCUGAAAGCAUCUAAGUGUGAAACCCACCUCAAGAUGAGAUUUCCCAUGAUUAUAUAUCAGUAAGAGCCCUGAGAGAUGAUCAGGUAGAUAGGUUAGAAGUGGAAGUGUGGCGACACAUGUAGCGGACUAAUACUAAUAGCUCGAGGACUUAUCCAA